Molecule: ribosomal RNA, 429 nt
Filed under: Chloroflexota bacterium
Lineage: Bacteria; Bacillati; Chloroflexota
Description: Chloroflexi bacterium partial 16S ribosomal RNA
Rfam family: Bacterial small subunit ribosomal RNA
Source: RNAcentral
UGGGGAAUAUUGCACAAUGGGCGCAAGCCUGAUGCAGCCAUGCCGCGUGUAUGAAGAAGGCCUUCGGGUUGUAAAGUACUUUCAGUCGGGAGGAAGGUGGUAAGGUUAAAAACCUUGGCAAUUGACGUUACCGACAGAAGAAGCACCGGCUAACUCCGUGCCAGCAGCCGCGGUAAUACGGAGGGUGCAAGCGUUAAUCGGAAUUACUGGGCGUAAAGCGCACGCAGGCGGUUGAUUGAGUCAGAUGUGAAAUCCCCGGGCUUAACCCGGGAAUUGCAUCUGAUACUGGUCAGCUAGAGUCUUGUAGAGGGGGGUAGAAUUCCAUGUGUAGCGGUGAAAUGCGUAGAGAUGUGGAGGACUACCGGUGGCGAAGGCGGCCCCCUGGACAAAGACUGACGCUCAGGUGCGAAAGCGUGGGGAGCAAACAGG